CGGAUUGAGUCUGCAACUCGACUCCAUGAAGCUGGAUUCGCUAGUAAUCGCGCAUCAGCCAUGGCGCGGUGAACACGUUCCCGGGCCUUGUACACACCGCCCGUCAAGCCAUGGAAGCCGGGAGUGCCUGAAGUGUGCAACCGCAAGGAGCGCCCUAAGGUAAAACUGGUGACUGGGGCUAAGUCGUAACAAGGUAUC
RNAcentral lists this ribosomal RNA (198 nucleotides) under uncultured bacterium. Its description in RNAcentral is "partial 16S ribosomal RNA". It matches the Rfam family "Bacterial small subunit ribosomal RNA", at positions 1294 to 1500 of the family's 1533-position model. The record is from RNAcentral.